CACAAAAUUACUGAAAUGGGGCAUUUAAACCAAGCCAAGUUUUUCAAUGAAAAAGUUCAUGAUAUGGCAGCCUCUUUCCUUUGAAGAAUAGUCAGAAGGCUCAGAAUAGGUCAAUUUUAUAGAGGCAUGAUACUUUCCUAAAGAGGUAUGGACCGAUAUGAGGUUUUAAGCUUUUAUGCUACCUCUGUGUCUUGAAAACAUAGAAACAUUAAAUUUCCGACAAAGAAACAGAGGGACUGGGAGAACUUUUUUUGUUCUGAGUACAGAGUAGAACUGAAGUAAAUGUGAAACAAUGCCAGCGAAAAAUAGUCAAAAGGCCACUAAAGCAAGGAAAAGAAGCAAGGCAUAAUUCCAAGUUUUGGGGGACCACAGCUGUAUACUGAAGAUUACCAGGGGCCAUCAUGAAACAAGGUGCAUAUACUGCAGUUUACAUCUGGACCCUGAAGAACAUAUUUGUAUACAAUCCUGAGUAUCCCCUGAAAACCUGUUUUUAUGGAGAAACUUUAGAAGUGUUCAUUGAUUUGGGUGAAAAUAAAAGAAGUCUUACUGUUGGCAGGAAUCUGAGUUACCCCAAAUGACCUGUGGUGUAUCCGUGAGGGUCUGCAGCAACUUUAGCUCUUGCUUCCUUGGAAGAAAGAAUUCCCCUGAGGGAUAUAAAGCAGAAAAAGAGACUGAGGCAAGUUCCAGAGCAAGAACGGAAGUUUAUUAAAAAGACUUUAGAACGGAAAAGAAGGGAAAGUUUGCUUGGAAGAGACUCAAGUGGGCACCAAGGUCCAAGAGAUAAAAAAGGGUGCCAGGCGUGAUGGCUCACGCCUGUAAUCCCAGCACUUUGGGAGGCUGAGGCGGGCUAAUACGGUGAAACCCCAUCUAUACUUUAAAAAAGAAAAAAAAUUGCCGGGCGUGGUGGCGGCGCCUGUAGUCCCAUCUACUCGGGAGGCUGAGGCAGGAGAAUGGCGGGAACCCGGGAGGCGGAGCUUGCAGUGAGCCGAGAUCCCGCCACUGCACUCCAGCUUGGGCGACAGAGCAAGACUCCAUCUCAAAUUUAAAAAAAAAAAAAAAGAGCUAAAAAAGAAGAGAGAGAAGGUCAAGUGCCCUGUUUAACCAUGAUCUUAGGAGAGGUUUUCCUCUUUUCCAUGAUUCUUCCCUUAGGGUGGGCUGCCCGCGUGCACAGAGCCCUCCUUACCCUUGGGAAGUAAGCCCACGCAGUGUGUUUACGGAGUUACAGGCUUGCCGUUCUAAGGCUGUCUUCCUUUUUCGGGUAGCGUGUACUCGGAAGAUCA
This 1280-nucleotide long non-coding RNA is filed under the name Macaca mulatta (Rhesus monkey). RNAcentral describes it as "lncRNA (ENSMMUG00000057635.1)". Lineage: Eukaryota; Metazoa; Chordata; Mammalia; Primates; Cercopithecidae. The record is from RNAcentral.